GAUCCGGAUACGAGUUCGU
Molecule: small nuclear RNA, 19 nt
Filed under: Arabidopsis thaliana (thale cress)
Lineage: Eukaryota; Viridiplantae; Streptophyta; Magnoliopsida; Brassicales; Brassicaceae
Description: snRNA_10394
Source: RNAcentral